GCAAGUCGAACGGUAACAUUUCUAGCUUGCUAGAAGAUGACGAGCGGCGGACGGGUGAGUAACGCGUAGGUAUCUGCCUAGUAGUGGGGGACAACAUGUGGAAACGCAUGCUAAUACCGCAUACGCCCUACGGGGGAAAGGAGGGGAUCUUCGGACCUUUCGCUAUUAGAUGAGCCUGCGUGAGAUUAGCUAGUUGGUGGGGUAAAGGCUCACCAAGGCGACGAUCUCUAGCUGGUCUGAGAGGAUGAUCAGCCACACUGGGACUGAGACACGGCCCAGACUCCUACGGGAGGCAGCAGUGGGGAAUAUUGGACAAUGGGCGCAAGCCUGAUCCAGCCAUGCCGCGUGUGUGAAGAAGGCCUUAGGGUUGUAAAGCACUUUCAGGAGUGAGGAAGGGCGAUUGGUUAAUACCCAAUUAUUUUGACGUUAACUCCAGAAGAAGCACCGGCUAACUCUGUGCCAGCAGCCGCGGUAAUACAGAGGGUGCGAGCGUUAAUCGGAAUUACUGGGCGUAAAGCGCGCGUANGCGGUUUGUUAAGUCGGAUGUGAAAUCCCA
RNAcentral lists this ribosomal RNA (556 nucleotides) under uncultured bacterium. RNAcentral describes it as "bacterial SSU rRNA". It matches the Rfam family "Bacterial small subunit ribosomal RNA", at positions 57 to 604 of the family's 1533-position model. The record is from RNAcentral.